GAAGAGAAGAGAAGAGAAGAGAAGAGAAGAGAGGGAAGAGAGAAAAGAAAGGAUUCAAUAACAAGAGAAGGAACGGAAAAAAUGCAAUCGACAGAGGGAACCACCAAAAUUCGACCAACACCCAAAAGGAAAAAGAGAUGAGCAAAAAUGAAAAGGAAAAAAACAAAUAUUCGACACCCAAAAACGAAAAGGCAAAAACGAAAAACUAACCAAAACCAAACUGAGAGAAGAAAAACAACUUUAGAAAUCGAUUCUCUCAGUGCCUACUGACCAAAUUCGGCACAAGUACACCCCCCAGCCUAAACCUCUAGUAAGAGUUUUCCCCAAAC
This 329-nucleotide long non-coding RNA is filed under the name Gossypium raimondii (Peruvian cotton). RNAcentral's name for it is "long non-coding RNA (GRAI_LNC010966)". The record is from RNAcentral. Lineage: Eukaryota; Viridiplantae; Streptophyta; Magnoliopsida; Malvales; Malvaceae.